GGUGUGGCUCAGUGGCAGAGCUCUUGACUUACAUGCAUGAGACCCUAGGUUUGACCCCCAGCACC
Molecule: transfer RNA, 65 nt
Filed under: Cavia porcellus (domestic guinea pig)
Lineage: Eukaryota; Metazoa; Chordata; Mammalia; Rodentia; Caviidae
Rfam family: tRNA
About the family: Transfer RNA (tRNA) molecules are approximately 80 nucleotides in length. Their secondary structure includes four short double-helical elements and three loops (D, anti-codon, and T loops).
Source: Rfam by way of RNAcentral